RNAcentral lists this ribosomal RNA (118 nucleotides) under Pteropus alecto (black flying fox). RNAcentral also lists the same sequence under 1 other name. Lineage: Eukaryota; Metazoa; Chordata; Mammalia; Chiroptera; Pteropodidae. The record is from RNAcentral.
AUCUAUGGCCAUGCCACCCUGAUCAGCCCGAUCCCAUCUGAUCUUAGAAGCUAAGCAGGGUUGGGCCUGUUUAGUACUUGGAUGGGAGACCACCUAGGAAGACCAGGUGCUUGCUAUA